This 388-nucleotide ribosomal RNA is filed under the name uncultured bacterium. RNAcentral describes it as "bacterial SSU rRNA". It matches the Rfam family "Bacterial small subunit ribosomal RNA", at positions 28 to 418 of the family's 1533-position model. The record is from RNAcentral.
GAUGAACGCUGGCGGCAUGCCUUACACAUGCAAGUCGAACGGCAGCACGGGAGCAAUCCUGGUGGCGAGUGGCGAACGGGUGAGUAAUAUAUCGGAACGUGCCCAGUCGUGGGGAUAACGUAGCGAAAGCUACGCUAAUACCGCAUACGAUCUAUGGAUGAAAGCGGGGGGAUCGCAAGACCUCGCGCGAUUGGAGCGGCCGAUAUCAGAUUAGGUAGUUGGUGAGGUAAAGGCUCACCAAGCCGACGAUCUGUAGCUGGUCUGAGAGGACGACCAGCCACACUGGGACUGAGACACGGCCCAGACUCCUACGGGAGGCAGCAGUGGGGAAUUUUGGACAAUGGGCGCAAGCCUGAUCCAGCAAUGCCGCGUGCAGGAUGAAGGCCUU